CCCAUGGAGCUUUACUGUAGCCUAAUAUUGGGUUUCGAUGUUGCAUGCACAGGAUAGAUGGGACACUGGGAAGCAGGUGCUUUGGCGCUUGUGGAGUGGCCGUUGGGAUACCAUCCUUGCGAUAUUGGAAUUCUAACCUGCGCCUUUGAAUCAAGGCGGGGGACAUUGUUAGGUGGGCAGUUUGACUGGGGCGGUCGCCUCCUAAAGAGUAACGGAGGCGCUCAAAGGUUGGCUCAGCACGGACGGAAAUCGUGCAGUGAGUGUAAACGUAGAAGCCAGCCUAACUGCGAGACCGACGGGUCGAGCAGUAACGAAAGUUGGAGUUAGUGAUCCGGUGGUAUGUGAGUGGAAAUGCCAUCGCUCAACGGAUAAAAGCUACCCUGGGGAUAACAGGCUGAUCUCCCCCAAGAGUCCACAUCGACGGGGAGGUUUGGCACCUCGAUGUCGGCUCAUCGCAUCCUGGGGCUGUAUUCGGUCCCAAGGGUUUGGCUGUUCGCCAAUUAAAGCGGUACGCGAGCUGGGUUCAGAACGUCGUGAGACAGUUCGGUCCCUAUCUGUCGUGGGCGCAGGAUAUUUGAUGGGAGCUGUCCCUAGUACGAGAGGACCGGGACGGACGUACCUCUGGCGCACCAGUUGUUCCGCCAGGAGCAUAGCUGGGCAACUACGUACGGAUCGGAUAAACGCUGAAAGCAUCUAAGCGUGAAGCCGACCCAAAGAUAAGAUAUCCCACUGAUUAGAUCAGGUAAGAUCCCUUGAAGACUACAAGGUUGAUAGGCACGAUGUGUAAGUGGAGUGAUCCAUUCAGCAAGCGUGUACUAAUAGGUCGAGGGCUUGACCAC
Molecule: ribosomal RNA, 839 nt
Filed under: human gut metagenome
Description: bacterial LSU rRNA
Rfam family: Bacterial large subunit ribosomal RNA
Source: RNAcentral